UACGAAGGGGGCUAGCGUUGCUCGGAAUCACUGGGCGUAAAGCGCACGUAGGCGGAUCUUUAAGUCAGGGGUGAAAUCCCAAGGCUCAACCUUGGAACUGCCUUUGAUACUGGGGAUCUCGAGUCCGGAAGAGGUUGAUGGAACUGCGAGUGUAGAGGUGAAAUUCGUAGAUAUUCGCAAGAACACCAGUGGCGAAGGCGGCCAACUGGUCCGGUACUGACGCUGAGGUGCGAAAGCGUGGGGAGCAAACAGG
Molecule: ribosomal RNA, 253 nt
Filed under: uncultured bacterium
Lineage: Bacteria
Description: partial 16S ribosomal RNA
Rfam family: Bacterial small subunit ribosomal RNA
Source: RNAcentral